UUGGCUUAGAAGCAGCCAUCAUUUAAAGAAAGCGUAAUAGCUCACUGGUCGAGUCGGCCUGCGCGGAAGAUGUAACGGGGCUAAACCAUGCACCGAAGCUGCGGCAGCGACGCUUAUGCGUUGUUGGAUAGGGGAGCGUUCUGUAAGCCUGUGAAGGUGUGCUGUGAGGCAUGCUGGAGGUAUCAGAAGUGCGAAUGCUGACAUAAGUAACGAUAAAGCGGGUGAAAAGCCCGCUCGCCGGAAGACCAAGGGUUC
RNAcentral lists this ribosomal RNA (255 nucleotides) under Escherichia coli. Its description in RNAcentral is "partial 23S ribosomal RNA". It matches the Rfam family "Bacterial large subunit ribosomal RNA", at positions 1101 to 1354 of the family's 2925-position model. The record is from RNAcentral. Lineage: Bacteria; Pseudomonadati; Pseudomonadota; Gammaproteobacteria; Enterobacterales; Enterobacteriaceae.